UUUGAUCCUGGCUCAAAUUGAACGCUGGCGGCGUGCUUUCCUCAUGCAAGUCAAACGGCAGCACGGACUUCGGUCUGGGGGCGAGGGGCGAACGGGUGAGUAAUACAUCGAAACGUACCUUUUAGUUGGGGAUAACGCAUCAAAAGAUGUGCUAAUACCGAAUAAUCUCUGAGGAGGAAAGGCGGGGAUCGGAAACAACCUGUCGCUGAAAGAGCGGCCGAUGGCCGAUUAGCUAGUUGGCGGGGUAAAUGCCCACCAAGGCAAUGAUCGGUAGCUGUUCUGAGAGGAAAAUCACCCACACUGGGACUGAGACACGGCCCAAACUCCUACGGGAGGCAGCAGGGGGAAAUUUUGGACAAUGGGGGCAACCCUGAUCCAGCAACGCCGCGUGAAUGAAGAAGGCCUUAGGGUUGUAAAGUUCUUUUGUCUGGAAGCAAAAGCAUGGUGCUAAUACCACCUUGUGCUGAGAGUACCAAAAAAAUAAGCAC
RNAcentral lists this ribosomal RNA (488 nucleotides) under uncultured bacterium. RNAcentral describes it as "bacterial SSU rRNA". It matches the Rfam family "Bacterial small subunit ribosomal RNA", at positions 12 to 493 of the family's 1533-position model. The record is from RNAcentral.